UUUUUGUGCUCUUUGUAUCUGUUGUAAUUUCCUUGGAAAUCAGUAGGAGGCAUUACUUCUGAAGCAACCUAAGUAGGUUUUUCUAUGGAAUUAUAUGCCACUGAAGAUUAAAGCAAGCCAAAGUCUGCCCAGUUUCAGAGCCUUUAGAAAGAUCUAUGUAAGUGGUUGUGUUUUGUUCUUUUCAUUAUUUCUUUUACAGGUGUACUACACUGAAAGAUGAGAAUAGGAUUUUAUUUUGCUAAGUACUCCAGAAAUGUACAGCUAAACCUUGUCCCAGUAGGCUGCAAGCUAAAAAGAUCAGCAUGAGUCUAAAAAGAAAGUGGAGACACAGCCCUGAGGUGAAAAUAAUUUCAUCCAUUGCUGUCACAUGUGAAAAUUGAUGACCUAAUGAGAAAUGACUGCUUUGAAUGAGCACUUUGAUUACUUGCGGUUGAAAAUAAAGACUUGGCAGAAAUAAA
This is a non-coding RNA of Phasianus colchicus (ring-necked pheasant), 458 nucleotides long. The record is from RefSeq and is a predicted model, not a curated record. NCBI's taxonomy places the organism in Eukaryota, Metazoa, Chordata, Aves, Galliformes, Phasianidae.